Molecule: non-coding RNA, 162 nt
Organism: Podarcis lilfordi (Lilford's wall lizard)
Lineage: Eukaryota; Metazoa; Chordata; Lepidosauria; Squamata; Lacertidae
Source: the annotation of a GenBank genome assembly
UGGUGGACCACCCAAAACUGCUGCCUUCAGUUGCCAGGACUUCCCCAAACCACUGGGCUACAGUCAUAUGUACCACUGGGCAACACUGACUGUAGAGGAAUGUAGCCCAGUGGUUUGGGGAAGUCCUGGCAACUGAAGGCAGCAGUUUUGGGUGGUCCAGGG